GGAAAAUAACCUGGAUUAUUUGUUUAUUUUUUUUAGGUGCAUUUCUUGAUCAGCCGCACUUCAAUCGUAUUCUAUCUGUCAGAUGUGCGUUUUGGUACCUGAAGACUUCAAAGUAUUGCAUUGCUUGUGCUGCUCCGAUGAUUUGCUCUACACCAGUUGAUCAGAUUCAGCAGAAUAUAUAAGGUCAAGUUUUGGAAACUUAAUUUAGAUGGUUUUUUGCGAAGCGUUUUAUUUUGAUGAAUAUCCUAACUCAGGAUUCCCUCUUCUGAGUAGAACCCUAAACAACCAUGCUGUUCACUUUUCCCUGUCUGAACAUAAAACGCUUAACAAUUACAAUUAUUUGCAUGUUACCAAAGACUAUACAAUACCAAGAUGUCGCAUGAG
Drosophila miranda is the source of this 384-nucleotide long non-coding RNA. RefSeq lists it as uncharacterized. The transcript is spliced from 3 exons. NCBI's taxonomy places the organism in Eukaryota, Metazoa, Arthropoda, Insecta, Diptera, Drosophilidae. The record is from RefSeq and is a predicted model, not a curated record.